RNAcentral lists this transfer RNA (73 nucleotides) under Candidatus Legionella polyplacis. RNAcentral's name for it is "Legionella endosymbiont of Polyplax serrata tRNA-Met". It matches the Rfam family "tRNA". From Rfam's summary of the family: Transfer RNA (tRNA) molecules are approximately 80 nucleotides in length. Lineage: Bacteria; Pseudomonadati; Pseudomonadota; Gammaproteobacteria; Legionellales; Legionellaceae. The record is from RNAcentral.
GGGCCUAUAGCUCAGAGGUUAGAGCAGCGGACUCAUAAUCCGUUGGUCCUAGGUUCAAAUCCUAGUAGGCCCA